GGUUUUGAUCCUGGGCUCAGAUUGAACGCUGGCGGGAUGCUUUGCUACUACGGGCCGAACGGCAGCACGGACUUCGGUCUGGUGGCGAGUGGCGAACGGGUGAGUAAUGUAUCGGAACGUGCCUAGUAGCGGGGAUAACUACGCGAAAGCGUAGCUAAUACCGCAUACGCCCUUCGGGGAAAGCGGGGACCUUCGGGCCUCGGGCACUAUUAGAUGGCCGAUAUCGGAUUAGCUAGUUGGCAGGGGUAACGGCUCACCAGGUUGCGACGAUCCGUAGCUGGUUUGAGAGGACGACCAGCCACACUGGGACUGAGACACGGCCCAGACUCCGCAUGGAGGCAGCAGUGGGGAAUUUGACAAUGGGGAAAACCCUGAUCCAGCCAUCCCGCGUAAGGGCAUGAAGGCCUCUCGGGUUGUAAAGCACUUUUGGCAGGAGAAGAACGGCACGGAUAAUAAUACCCGUGCAACUGACGAUAUUGCAGAAUAAGCACCGGCUAACUACGUGCCAGCAGCCGCGGUAAUACGCAGGGCGCAAGCGUUAACCUGAAUUACUGGGCAGAAGCGUGCAGGCGGUUCGAAAGAAAGAUGUGAAAUCCCAGAGCUUAACUUUGGAACUGCAUUAACUACCGAGCUAGAGUGUGUCAGAGGGAGGUGAAUUCCCAAGCGGGCAGGAAAUGCGUAGAUAGCGCGGAGGAACACCGAUGGCGAAGGCAGCUCUGGGAUAACACUGACGCUCAUGCACGAAAGCGUGGGGACAAACAGGAUUAGAUACUCCGGUAGUCCACGCCUAAACGAUGUCAACUAGCUGCUGGGGCCUUUCAGGGCCUGCAGCGCAGCUAACGCGAAGCUGACCGCCCGGGGAGUACGGUCGCAAGAUUAAAACUCAAAGGAAUUGAUUGGGACCCGCACAAGCGGUGGAUGAUGUGAUUAAUUCGAUGCAACGCGAAAAACCCACCUUACCCUUGACAUGUCUGAAUCCCGAAGAGAUUUGGGGAGUGCUCGCAAGAGAACCGGAACACAGGUGUUGCAUGGCUGUCGUCAGCUCGUGUCGUGAGAUGUUGGGUUAAGUCCCGCAACGAGCGCAACCCUUGUCAUUAGUUGCUACGAAAGGGCACUUCCAUCGAGACUGCCGGUGACAAACCGGGAGGAAGGCGACGUCAAUUCCUCAUGGCCCUUAAGGGUAGGCUUCACACGUCAUACAAUGGUCGGGACAGAGGGUCGCCAACCUGCGAGGGGGGAGCCAAUCCCAGAAACCCGAUCGAACUGACUGCAGUCUGUAACCGACUGCGUGAAGUCGGAAUCGCUAGUAAUCGCGGAUCAGCAUGUCGCGGUGAAUACGUUCUGGGUCUUGUACAUUAAUUGCCCGUCACACCAUGGGAGUGGGUUUUACCAGAAGUAGUUAGCCCAACUCGUAAGGAGGGCGAUUACCACGGUAGGAUUCAUGACUGGGGGUGAAGUCGUAAAUAAAGGCAACUCCAGCCACUCUGAUGCCCCA
RNAcentral lists this ribosomal RNA (1495 nucleotides) under uncultured Bordetella sp. RNAcentral describes it as "partial 16S-23S ribosomal RNA intergenic spacer". It matches the Rfam family "Bacterial small subunit ribosomal RNA". Lineage: Bacteria; Pseudomonadati; Pseudomonadota; Betaproteobacteria; Burkholderiales; Alcaligenaceae. The record is from RNAcentral.